CGCAUAACAUCAUUAGAUGGCAUCAUUUAGUGAUCAAAGGAUUUAUUUGUUAGGAGAUGGACCCGCGUCGCAUUAGCUAGUUGGUAAGGUAAUGGCUUACCAAGGCGACGAUGCGUAGCCGACCUGAGAGGGUGAUCGGCCACAUUGGGACUGAGACACGGCCCAGACUCCUACGGGAGGCAGCAGUGGGGAAUAUUGCACAAUGGGGGAAACCCUGAUGCAGCAACGCCGCGUGAGUGAUGAAGGUUUUCGGAUCGUAAAGCUCUGUCUUUGGGGAAGAUAAUGACGGUACCCAAGGAGGAAGCCACGGCUAACUACGUGCCAGCAGCCGCGGUAAUACGUAGGUGGCGAGCGUUAUCCGGAUUUAUUGGGCGUAAAGGGAGCGUAGGCGGAUAAUUAAGUGGGAUGUGAAAUACUCAGGCUCAACCUGGGGGCUGCAUUCCAAACUGAUUAUCUAGAGUGCAGGAGAGGAGAGUGGAAUUCCUAGUGUAGCGGUGAAAUGCGUAGAGAUUAGGAAGAACACCAGUGGCGAAGGCGACUCUCUGGACUGUAACUGACGCUGAGGCUCAAAAGCGUGGGGAGCAAACAAGAUUAGAUACCCUGGUAGUCCACGCCGUAAACGAUGAAAAAUAGGUGUGGGGGUUUUCAACCCCUCCUGUGCCGCCGCGUAACGCAUUUAAGUAUUCCCGCCUGGGGAAGUACGGUCGCAAGAUUUAAACUCAAAGGAAAUGGACGGGGACCCGCACAAGCAGCGGAGCAUGUGGUUUAAUUCGAAGCAACGCGAAGAACCUUUACCUACACUUGACAUCCCUUGCAUUACCCUUAAUCGGGGAAAUCUAUUCGGAGACAAGGUGACAGGUGGUGCAUGGUUGUCGUCAGCUCGUGUCGUGAGAUGUUGGGUUAAGUCCCGCAACGAGCGCAACCCCUAUUGUUAGUUGCUACCAUUAAGUUGAGCACUCUAGCGAGACUGCCUGGGUUAACCAGGAGGAAGGUGGGGAUGACGUCAAAUCAUCAUGCCCCUUAUGUGUAGGGCUACACACGUGCUACAAUGGCAAGUACAGAGAGACGCAAAACCGUGAGGUCAAGCAAAUCCCUUAAAACUUGUCCCAGUUCGGAUUGUAGGCUGAAACUCGCCUACAUGAAGCCGGAGUUGCUAGUAAUCGCGAAUCAGAAUGUCGCGGUGAAUACGUUCCCGGGUCUUGCACACACCGCCCGUCA
This 1218-nucleotide ribosomal RNA is filed under the name uncultured bacterium. RNAcentral describes it as "bacterial SSU rRNA". It matches the Rfam family "Bacterial small subunit ribosomal RNA", at positions 170 to 1399 of the family's 1533-position model. The record is from RNAcentral.